This is a long non-coding RNA of Salvia miltiorrhiza (redroot sage), 440 nucleotides long. RefSeq lists it as uncharacterized. Lineage: Eukaryota; Viridiplantae; Streptophyta; Magnoliopsida; Lamiales; Lamiaceae. The record is from RefSeq and is a predicted model, not a curated record. The transcript is spliced from 2 exons.
CCUAUUCUUGCUAAGCUUGCCCGAGAUGUGUUGUCGGUACCCGUUUCUACGGUUGCAUCCGAGUCCGCUUUUAGCACCGGGGGAAGGGUGCUCGAUCCUUUUAGAAGUUCUUUGAAUCCUACUAUGGUGGAGAGCCUCAUUUGUGCCCAAGAUUGGUUGAGGAUGGGAAAGGAUCCUAUUAAAGUUGAAGAAGAUUUGGAGUCUAUUCGAAAGCACGAAGAAGCUUUGAAGAUCCUUGGAGUUGGAGUUGUCAUAAAUGAAGAAUCAAAUCAAGCCGUGUAGACUAGAGUGAAGAUUGGAAAAAUGAAUGUUGGAACUUGGAAGUUUGAAUGUUGGAUUUCAUUUUAUUUUAUUUUGUAACUUUAUAUGUUGGAUUUUGAAUGUUGGAAGUUUGGAACUUGGAUUUGGAAUGUUGGAUUUGGAUUUUUAAUUUUAGAUCA